AGACACGUCGUUACUAUACUUUAUCGCGGUUCAAAACCUGUCGGUCUGCAUUCCAGUGUGCUGGUGGACGCCAAGCGUCGUGUUCUAUGAGAAGUUGAUCUUAUUGAAGCUUACAACGAUUCUCGUGAAAAAAAUGAAACGAUUUGCUAAAAAUUAUUAACGGAUUUAUUAUUUCUAUUCUGUAAGAAAGAUUGUGAUCUAUUCACGGGAAAGUUAAGGAUCUGGAACAAAUAGAUCGUACGGCUGGAUCGAAGGAAAAAGGAAUGUGUCAAGAUGCGAUCUGUGCCCUUUCCAUGUGGCAUUGUUACGAUUCUAUUUUAUGUUUUAGCCAGUCUUGUAUAUGGGCAAAGGCAAGAGUUAGGCAUGUCUUUUACCAGACAUCCACAACCAUUGGAUGCACCAAUAGGCGAUGACGUAAAUUUUGAAUGUAAUUUGAAUCUUGGCGCAGAACGUUUUUCUUGGCGCCAUAGACCAUUGAAUUCGGAUAAGUGGUUGCCAGUUUUUCACACAAUUAGUAAUGGUGGCAAAACAUCUAGGCAUGUGGUGAAAUUUGAUAAUGAAUCGAAAGCCGGAGAUUAUCGUUGUAUAGCUUUUUAUGGUUCAAGUGGUUUAGCUUCUGAUCCAGCAAGAUUAACAUUAGCUACACUACACAACUUUUCUGAUAAAAACGAUGUUAUUAUAAACGUUCCAGCAGGAAAUAUUGUACCUAUUACUUGUCCUGUACCUUAUUCUGCACCAGAAGCGAUAGUUCAGUUUUAUAAAAAUAAUAAUCUCAUACAAAAUGUUAAUAUAAUUGGUAGCAAAACUAUGAUUAUUGAGAAUGCUAAAAUAUCAGAUAGUGGAUCUUAUUACUGCACUGCUAGCAAUUAUAUAACUACACAAAUAUAUUCGAGUAACUAUAAAACAAUUUUAAAUGUACAUAAAAACAUUAGUUUUUUAGCACCAUAUUUUGUUAAGCAACCACAAACAGAAUACAAAGUUUUACGGGGCAAAAAUAUAACAUUAGAGUGUUUUGGUGCUGGCUAUCCAGUACCUUCCGUUACAUGGAGUAGAUUAGGCAGUCCGUUACCAUCAAAUUCCAUAAAAACUCUGAUAGGCUUAAUGAUAAUUAAUGUUCAGCCAUCAGAUAGAGGAGAAUAUGAUUGUAUGUGGAGUAGCAAUAAUGCACAUAUUAAAUCUGUAAUUAUAUUAAAAGUAAUGGAAGCUCCAAAAGUAAUUAAACCACCGAAGGCGUCCACAUUCUCUGAAGGUGGAGAAUUAGAACUUUCUUGUGCAGUAACUGGUGAACCACAACCAAAAGUUGAAUGGUUAAUUAAUGGAGAAUCCUUGACACCUAGUGAUAAUGUGGAAAUCAAAGGUUCUACACUUCUUAUAUCUGAAGUUGAGAAAAAACAUGCUGGUAUUGUCCAGUGUGUCGCGAGUAACGAAUAUGGGUCUCAUUCUGGUUGCAAUUUGCUAAGAGUAAAUCCUAAACAACAUAUUGGAACAGAAAUCAGACAGGAUUAUGGAAUUUCUAAUUCAAAACAUAAACACACUAGAGGAGGAGGUAGACGAAGAAGUAAGGAAGGGAAACAUAAAGGCACUGCGGUAUUAGUACCACCGAACCAGCCAAAUGUCACAAGGCUUUCAGAUGUGUCGGUAAUGGUUAGAUGGUCUGUACCUGAAAAUACAGGAUUGCCGAUUCAAUUUUUUAAAGUUCAAUAUCGAGAACUUGGACAAAAGAUGAAUGGCAAACAAGCCAAAUGGAUGACUGCAAAUUCAGAAAUACCGAAUAAUGUACGGGCUUUUGAAGUAACCGAUUUACAACCUGAUCAUACUUAUCGAUUUAGAAUUGCUGCAGUUUAUUCAAAUAAUGAUAAUAAACUUAGUCCAAAUUCCGUACGUUUUCAUCUUAACAAAGAUGGUGGAAUCGAAAGUAAUAAAAUGCCUAUACCUUUGUUAACGAACACUGAGGCUUUAGGUCCGCAUGAAGUAUUACUAAUUUGGCAAAAUUUAGAUAAAUUGGCAAAUAUCGAUGGUUUUUACGUAUACCAUAGAGCCUCUACUACAGCUGGAGAUUACAUAAAAACUACAGUUGAGGGCAAAGAUUCUUUCAACAUAACUAUUUCCCACUUGCAACCAGAUACAACAUACGAGUUUAAAGUACAAAGUUUUUCUGUGGAUGCUGCUUCAGAAUUUUCUCAAAUUCUUCGACAAAAAACAAAAAAAUCUUUGAAUAUGAAUGAACAUAACGAUUAUAAUAAUCGAAAUGAUCAUAGCAGCAAUCUAACAUUAGAUAGUCGAGUAAGACCUGCAGAUGAUAAAAAUGUGAAUAUGUAUGCCAUAAUUGGCGGAGUUCUCGGAGGAUCGACUUUGCUAGGUAGUUUAACCGCGGUUGCGGUAAUAUAUAAAAGAACAAAAUACAAACAAAGUCGAGAAUCAUCGCAAAGUGAAGGGAAACCAAUAACAAAUGGGAGAAUAAUGAAUGGUGGAGUAACUGAUUCAAAAAUAAACAUAACUUCAAAUCCACUUGCUGGUCUUGAUACAUCUGAAGAUAUAAUACAGCCUAAGGUCGGUAUUUCUUUAGCCAUUGGUCGCGUUCUUUAAAUUCUACUUGCACAUUCUCUGCACUCUCUCUGGAAGCCGCUUUUCUUUUGUAUUUUCCGAACACCAUAUACACCGGACAACAGUCGCAGAUGGAAAUGGCUUCGUUUCUUAAUGGACAAAACAACAGCAACAACAACCAUAACAAUGAUACUGUUGGAACUGACCAGUGAAGACCAAUAGACUGAGAUCUCUCUUUGCUCCAGGGGUCACUGCCAACACCUUCUCUGCAAACAACUAUUUUAUAUGUGCUUCGAAAAAUCUUCAGACUAUAUAUUUUCAGAUUGAAGUUACAUCAAACUUUUAUAAAGAACGCCAAUAUUGUGACAAGAAUCAAGACAAAGAUGUACAAACAUUAAUAUUGCAAUGAUAUUUUUUUUUUAGUGAGACUUUAAAGAAACUUUAGUCAUCUGUUAGAUUUUACAAUGAAUAAUCAAUUUCAAGACAUUUACAGGGUGUCAUAAUAGGUAUGCUCAAAUAUUUCGAUCGAAAUUGUUAGACACGUAUUUGCCUAACGAUCGUAUACUACGAAUCCAGUUUUUCCCAUUACACGGUAAAUUGCGAUUUUUUAAAGCUCAAGAUAGAAUAAGGAAUUCGUGAUCGAUCAUGAAAUGGUUAAAAUUUGCAAAGUACCUGUCUAAUAUCUUCUUCGAUUUCUUUUUUUUCUUUUUUUUUAUUUCUAUAUUUUUAUCGCUCUCUUAUUAUAUAUACCCAUUUGACAGUCUGAUAAUUAGUGAGUUUGGAAUUAAUUAGAAAUUCAUAAUUUCGUAAUUGAAUUAUAUUCAUUUUCGUGAUAUUUAUCAUAUUUUUAUAUUAAUUUUAAUCCAGGCAGCUUUUACAAGUUAUGUUUGUUUCCUGAUUUAAAUUAAUUAGCGUUUAUUAUUUUAUGUUGUAAAUAAUUAGUAGUUAUGUUGAAUUUAGGACGAAUGAUAUUGUGCCUGAUAAAAAAGACAGCUGUGCUAUAUAUUUUAUAUUUUAUUAUGCUUUAGAUUAUUAUUUGAUAUUAUUUGAUUUAUUGAAAUUUUUAGACUCUGCUAAAUUGCGAUAGAAUGAAAUUUUAUUCAAAUUUUUUUUUUUUAAAUUAUCGUUAUUAUAUAUUGCAUUAUAUGUAUUAUACUUAUUCAUACAUUAUGAUGUUGAAAUUGAUAAAAUAAUAAUUUUAAAUAGAUUCAUUCUUAUGUUAGAACGAAUCUCAUAUGAAUUGCUGCUAAAAUAAUAGAAAUAAUAGAAAUAAUUCAGUCAUACAUUGCUAACAGUAUUUGUUAUAUAAUAUCAAGGAUUUAACUUGUAAUAACAGUAUUUUCCUAGCAUCAAAUUAGAUAUCGUAAGUUCUUUAGCAAUCAAUAUUAAUUUUCUGACGGUAAUAAAGCUUUACGAUGAAUCAAAAAAUUUAAGAAUCAUGUGAAAAAAAACAUUAAUUUUUAUUAGUAAAAAUUUCGAU
This 4024-nucleotide unclassified non-coding RNA is filed under the name Apis florea (little honeybee). RNAcentral describes it as "interference hedgehog, transcript variant X9". Lineage: Eukaryota; Metazoa; Arthropoda; Insecta; Hymenoptera; Apidae. The record is from RNAcentral.